GAUCCUGGCUCAGGAUGAACGCUAGCGGCAGGCUUAACACAUGCAAGUCGAGGGGCAACGCGAGUAGCAAUACUUGGCGGCGACCGGCGCAAGGGUGCGUAACGCGUGAGCAACAUGCCCGUAUCAGGGGGAUAAUCCAGGGAAACUUGGUCUAAUACCCCAUAGUAAUUUUGUAAGGCAUCUUAUAAGAUUUAAAGCUUUGGUGGAUACGGAUUGGCUCGCGUGACAUUAGCUGGAUGGUAAGGUAACGGCUUACCAUGGCUAUGAUGUCUAGGGGUUCUGAGAGGAAGGUCCCCCACACUGGAACUGAGACACGGUCCAGACUCCUACGGGAGGCAGCAGUGAGGAAUAUUGGACAAUGGAUGGAAAUCUGAUCCAGCCAUGCCGCGUGAAGGAAAGAAGGUCCUAUGGAUUGUAAACUUCUUUUGUAUGGGAGCAAUAAGGCCUACGUGUAGGUUGAUGAGAGUACCAUACGAAUAAGCACCGGCUAACUCCGUGCCAGCAGCGGC
Molecule: ribosomal RNA, 509 nt
Filed under: uncultured bacterium
Lineage: Bacteria
Description: bacterial SSU rRNA
Rfam family: Bacterial small subunit ribosomal RNA
Source: RNAcentral